This 475-nucleotide ribosomal RNA is filed under the name uncultured Allobosea sp. Its description in RNAcentral is "bacterial SSU rRNA". It matches the Rfam family "Bacterial small subunit ribosomal RNA", at positions 912 to 1382 of the family's 1533-position model. The record is from RNAcentral. Lineage: Bacteria; Pseudomonadati; Pseudomonadota; Alphaproteobacteria; Hyphomicrobiales; Alloboseaceae.
GACGGGGGCCCGGCACAAGCGGUGGAGCAUGUGGUUUUAAUUCGAAGCAACGCGCAGAACCUUACCAGCUUUUGACAUGUCCGGUUUGAUCGACAGAGAUGUCUUUCUUCAGUUCGGCUGGCCGGAACACAGGUGCUGCAUGGCUGUCGUCAGCUCGUGUCGUGAGAUGUUGGGUUAAGUCCCGCAACGAGCGCAACCCUCGCCCCUAGUUGCCAUCAUUCAGUUGGGAACUCUAGGGGGACUGCCGGUGAUAAGCCGCGAGGAAGGUGGGGAUGACGUCAAGUCCUCAUGGCCCUUACAGGCUGGGCUACACACGUGCUACAAUGGCGGUGACAAUGGGCAGCGAAGGAGCGAUCCGGUGCUAAUCCCAAAAAGCCGUCUCAGUUCAGAUUGCACUCUGCAACUCGAGUGCAUGAAGGUGGAAUCGCUAGUAAUCGUGGAUCAGCAUGCCACGGUGAAUACGUUCCCGGGCCUU